AAUAUUGGACAAUGGGCGAAAGCCUGAUGCAGCAACGCCGCGUGAGGGAUGACGGCCUUCGGGUUGUAAACCUCUUUCAGUAGGGCAGAAGCGCAAGUGACGGUAUCUGCUGAAACAGCACCGGCUAACUACGUGCCCGCAGCCGCGGUAAUACGUAGGGUGCAAGCGUUGUCCGGAAUUAUUGGGCGUAAAGAGCUCGUAGGCGGCUGGUCGCGUCUGCCGUGAAAACCCAGGGCUCAACCCUGGGCGGGCGGUGGGUAAGGGAAGGAUAGAGUGGGGUAGGGGAGAUUGGAAUUCCUGGUGUAGCGGUGGAAUGCGCAGAUAUCAGGAGGAACACCGAUGGCGAAGGAAGAUCUCUGGGCCGUAACUGACGCUGAGGAGCGAAAGCAUGGGGAGCGAACA
RNAcentral lists this ribosomal RNA (402 nucleotides) under uncultured bacterium. RNAcentral describes it as "partial 16S ribosomal RNA". It matches the Rfam family "Bacterial small subunit ribosomal RNA", at positions 360 to 774 of the family's 1533-position model. The record is from RNAcentral.